This 2181-nucleotide long non-coding RNA is filed under the name Medicago truncatula (barrel medic). Its description in RNAcentral is "lncRNA gene4585". Lineage: Eukaryota; Viridiplantae; Streptophyta; Magnoliopsida; Fabales; Fabaceae. The record is from RNAcentral.
UUCCAACUAAAAGAUAUAUGCAAUAGAAUAUUCCUUCUAUGUUUGUAUUAUUAGUAUAUGAAAACAAAUCCUAUACACAUGGAGAUCACUCAUACACAACAAGUAACCGCUACUUUAUAUAAUAGAAUAGGAAAAGUCCUUUGUUUCAUCCAUAUCUCUGCCUUAUAUACUUAGGUCAGAAAUAUAUCUCACAACCAUCUUAUCCAUUUUUCUUCUUCUUCUUCUAAUUAUUGCAGCAGAAAAAAAAUCUUCAUGAGGGUCUUAAGGUUGAACUAUUUUCUUCUGGGAUUGUUGGAGCCAUGGCCAGAUGAUGGCACAAGGAAGUGAGGACACCUCACACAAGAAGUAUGCCUCUAGGCAAGUCUGAUGCUUGGCUUUUCAUCUCUGUUUGUUGGUUUAAUUUCCUCAGAAUCAAGUAAGGCAUGGGAUUGAAUAUUGUUUACUAUAGUAUAUUUAUAUCAUUAUCAUCAUAUAUCAUGUUAUGAGAUAUUAUUAUAAGUUAUCUAUUUCACUUUGUCAUUGAAACAACUCUGUUGGGAUGAUAAUGACAUAUAUAUUAUAUAUGUAGCCUUUUCUGCUAUGUCAUAGCUGCAUUUAUAUUACAGAUUGUAUGAAUUAAAAUCAAUUUUUUUUCCUGCUCGUAUUGAUCCAUAUUGUAGGAGAGACACUUCAGAUUAAAGGUGUAUUAACACGACACGGACAUAUGUAUUCAAUUACUUGUCGUGUUCGUAUUUUUUAGGUAUUUAUUAUGUAUAUAUGCAUCUGGCAUGGCCAUGGAAAGGUCAGAAAACUAACAACAGCAAAAGAAUAUUGCUUUAUCUGUAAAUUAAUUAACCAGAUAUAGUACUAUGUUUAAAAUAAUAAAAUCAUGUCGUCCUUUCUAGCUUUACAUUAUUAAAAGUACUAAUUAAUAGUCUAUGAGUUUAUGACUUAUUGUAGUGUAUGUGGAAAGGGUGAGAAAUAGUAAAUAAAUUUAUUUUGACGAAAAAUAGUAAACAAAUUGGAACUUAUAAAUAAAACGGAGUAAAAGAAAAGAAGCAUGAAGCAGCCGGCCACUACCUAUAUGCAAAGUUCGGUUGAAUACAAUGCAAGAUAAUAUUAUUAAGCACAUACAAAUUUCUCAAUAGGAAUAUAAAGCAUGUAACAAAGCAUCAUCUUGUCCAAAUAGUUGGAAGAAUUAAUUAAUACUUGUGGAAAAGUUGUUUGAAGGUAUAUUAUUUGCAGGUUUAUUUUAAAUGCAAGUUAUUGAGUGUUGUUAAUAUUGCUCCGCACAUCAUAGUAUCAUAUCGAUGUGAGUUUGAUAAAAUCCACAGCAAAUACUACAUAAGGUUAUUAAGAGUGAGUGAAAUAUAUUGUUUACUUUGUUCAACAACCAUGGCGUGCCCGAAUGGUAUCUUGCAUUUUAAGUCACCGAAAAUAUUUAUCUUUAUCAUACUAUUCUUUCUUUAUUUUUUUUUUUAAAGAAUAUCAAUCUUAAUAUUACUAUUGACAAUGUUAAUUAGGAUAAUUAUUUUAAUUUGUUUCCUAAUGAAACUUUUACUCAUGACCAUUUGUUUGUAGUGGGGAAAUGCUAAUUAGGCAAGGUGGUACUUUUUCAACAUAAAUCCAAAUUAAAGACAUAGAUCUGUAGUUUUCUCCAAUAACUUAGUUCUUAUCUACCACACUUUACUUGAGGAUAAGCAUGAUAAUUCCAUAAUCAACUCUACCAUCCAUUGUCCAUUAUCUAAUUCAUUCAUUAAUUAUCCAUUUUUUAAAGAUAAUAGAUAUGGGUUAGAGUCCAAGUGUCCCACCUGGAAGAAAAUGAUGUGCACCAACAAACAAAAGAGUCCAAGUUAGUUUAAUGAUAAUCUGGCCUAUCAUUAAGCUAACUUUUACCGCCUUAUGAGUCAUCAAAAGGAAAUAAAGACAAACCAAACAUGACGACUAGUUUAUUUGAUUAGAUCAAGGAGAAUUUGAUCAAGACUUGAUAAAUUCCAUAAUCCAAUAUAAGGGUCCAACAUUGUCUUUUGAUACUUUCCAUUCUUUUGUUUUGACUUCAAGUGGCAAACAUGGAAUGGAUGUUUCCCUUGUGAACUUUUUGAAUGAUGAAUGAGUUUGCUUGAAUUAUGGAUAUAUAUCCACAUAACAUGUUUAGGUAAAAAUUUGGAAAUAGAUUUGACGCGGUCAAUAAUCACAGUCGUU